GUCUGGAAACGGACGCUAAUACCGCAUAACACCGCAUGGUCAAAGAUUUAGCACAAAGAUGGGCUCGCGGCUGAUUAGCUAGUUGGCGGGGUAACGGCCCACCAAGGCGACGAUCAGUAGCCGGACUGAGAGGUUGAUCGGCCACAUUGGGACUGAGACACGGCCCAGACUCCUACGGGAGGCAGCAGUGGGGGAUAUUGCACAAUGGGGAAACCUGAUCAGCGACGCCGCGUGAGGGAAGACGGUUUUCGGAUUGUAAACCUCUGUCUUCAGGGACGACAAUGACGGUACCUGAGGAGGAGGCCACGGCUAACUACGUGCCAGCAGCCGCGGUAAUACGUAGUGGCAAGCGUUGUCCGGAAUUACUGGGUGUAAAGGGAGCGUAGGCGGGAUGCAAGUUAAUGUUUAAACUAUCGGCUCAACUGAUAAUCGCGUUAAAACUGCAUUUCUUGAGUGGAGUAGAGGCAGGCGGAAUUCCUAGUGUAGCGGUGAAAUGCGUAGAUAUUAGGAGGAACACCAGUGGCGAAGGCGGCCUGCUGGGCUCUAACUGACGCUGAGGCUCGAAAGCGUGGGUAGCAAACAGGAUUAGAUACCCUGGUAGUCCACGCCGUAAACGAUGAUUACUAGGUGUGGGGGGA
Molecule: ribosomal RNA, 638 nt
Filed under: uncultured bacterium
Lineage: Bacteria
Description: bacterial SSU rRNA
Rfam family: Bacterial small subunit ribosomal RNA
Source: RNAcentral